GUUCUAGUGCUUUGUUUUGUUCAGACACAGCUUUCAGUUUGUAUCGCUAUACAUUGUUUUCGUUUUUGGGACUGAUGAACCAUGACAGAACAGUUCUUUUUCCAUUCCACAUAUCCCUCAAAAGAGCUAAAACGGCCUCAGUAUCAGCUACCUUUUGACAGGUAUGAGAGGUAAUGCUUUAUGGCCUAUAGGUUUUACAUUUACAUUAUUGCAUUUAGCAAAUUCUUUAAUCCAAAAUGACAUGGUGCGUUUCAAUGUACACAGAUUGCCAGCGUGUGUUCCUUGGGAACUGAACCCAUGAACGCAGCUUUGUUAGCGCCAUGCUCUACCAGUCAAACUACAGCAACAAUAUAACUGUUGUUGGGGACUGGUUUCCAUGGAGAGCUGACAUUCUGAGUGUUGAGAGUGGACAUGCAUAAUCGGGAAGGACGUAUUAUCUGCUGUACAUUACGGAGGUGGAUAGAUUGUUCUCCUGAAACCGCUCUGCUGGCUAAUACUGUACUGCCUAAGCCAUCCUCAGUGCCAGCCACUUGUCAUUCACACCAAGUGCCAUGCCGACAGGCCUCUUGGGGGCAGGAUUAGUGUACAUAUACUGACAGGUAUAAAAAAGCUGUUAUCCUGACAGCCAGGUGUAUCAAUUGUAACCCUCAUAGUACCAGAAUCAGCAUUACAGGCAUUUGAAUAUACUCACACAUUCCACUCUCUCUUAUAUCACUGCAGGGCCUGCAAGCAACAAACCAGGAUGGAAAUUUAAAAUAGCUUCUAUUCAAUAAAUCUAGUGUCAAUGAGUGACUCA
Long non-coding RNA from Cyprinus carpio (common carp), 796 nucleotides. NCBI's taxonomy places the organism in Eukaryota, Metazoa, Chordata, Actinopteri, Cypriniformes, Cyprinidae. The record is from Ensembl.